GGGAAGGUAGCUCAGCCUGAAGCUCGUGGCUAAGGAGAGCGCUACCCUGAAGAGGUAGUUGUCGUGGGUUCAAAUCCCACCCUUCCCACCA
Molecule: transfer RNA, 91 nt
Filed under: Candidatus Aenigmatarchaeota archaeon
Lineage: Archaea; Nanobdellati; Candidatus Aenigmatarchaeota
Description: tRNA-Phe
Rfam family: tRNA
About the family: Transfer RNA (tRNA) molecules are approximately 80 nucleotides in length. Their secondary structure includes four short double-helical elements and three loops (D, anti-codon, and T loops).
Source: RNAcentral